This 73-nucleotide transfer RNA is filed under the name Petromyzon marinus (sea lamprey). Its description in RNAcentral is "tRNA-Sup (TTA) (tRNA-Sup-TTA-1-1, tRNA-Sup-TTA-1-2)". It matches the Rfam family "tRNA". From Rfam's summary of the family: Transfer RNA (tRNA) molecules are approximately 80 nucleotides in length. The record is from RNAcentral. Lineage: Eukaryota; Metazoa; Chordata; Hyperoartia; Petromyzontiformes; Petromyzontidae.
CCUGCGAUAGCUCAGUUGGUAGAGCGGAGGACUUUAGAUCCGUAGGUCGCUGGUUUGACUCCGGCUCGAAGGA